GACAAAUGUACAUGAAAUCAGCACCAAACUGUUUCCUGGAGCAGACUCUUUGGCUAAAGCUUGGUGUGGCUAAGCUUGGUGUGGACAGGAAUGAUAUUUGCAUAGCUGGUUGUAGCUUUUGAUGGUGGUUCCCCUGCACACCCUAUUCCUAUGGAGGCAGACUUCUUUCAUUGACUAAGCAGAAUGACAAAAAAAAAAAAUUAGGGCUUUAUGCAGAAUUGGUAAUCAUCAUGUCUUCUGGCAUAUGAUUUAAGAAGGUAAAUCAUUAACAUGACACUGAUCACUUAGAAGAGACCAAAGGAAACUUGCAGAAGCAGUUCUUUCUACCAUCCAGGAAAAGGUUGCACACUAUAGCUAUAUAUAAAAUACAGAAAAAAAAAAGGAUGAUGAACUUCCUACUCCAUGGACUGCUUAGAU
Molecule: long non-coding RNA, 417 nt
Organism: Theobroma umbraticum
Lineage: Eukaryota; Viridiplantae; Streptophyta; Magnoliopsida; Malvales; Malvaceae
Source: RefSeq, a predicted model, not a curated record